Carassius gibelio (silver crucian carp) is the source of this 2212-nucleotide long non-coding RNA. RefSeq lists it as uncharacterized. The transcript is spliced from 4 exons. NCBI's taxonomy places the organism in Eukaryota, Metazoa, Chordata, Actinopteri, Cypriniformes, Cyprinidae. The record is from RefSeq and is a predicted model, not a curated record.
AGUCUAUAAUUAAUUUGCAGUCUUCAGAAUUUUUAUUUAUAGAAAAUAUUUACAUCUUAAUAAUAAUUUUACUGUAAUGUCACUCUUUAUUUAAUCUAAGGAUUUAUACGCCCUCAGUUUCUCUAUCAGAAGUGUAGAUGUCAGGCCACUCAAUCGGAGGUAAUCCUGUAAAAUCGUCCAUCCAAUGAGUGAUUGUGUACGGGUCGACCAAUCUGGGGGGUAUUCCAGAAAGCUUGAUUAACUUACCAUUUGAUAAACUAUAACCUCUGGGUUGAUUUACCCCAAACAGGCAUACCAUGAGUAUGUCGGUUCCAAAACACCUGAGAAGAGUUAGUUUAAUCAACCUCUUACUGGUUACCCAGAGUUAAUGCGCGUGCACGGUGCAUGUAUAAAGACAUUUUCAAUGGAUCGCCGAUUUCACGAGUCACCAUGGAAACUCAAAGCGAAAAAAAGAGAGCGGCGUAUUUCACAGAGGAGUUGGAAGUUUUAAUGCAUGCUUGUGAGGAGUUUGAGCCAAUAAUAUAAAAAAGAAGCAAUACAGCUGCAUCGGCUAAAGCAAGAGAGUUGGCUUGGCAAAAAAUAACGGACAGAGUAAAUGCGUGAGUGUAUUAAAUUACAAAUUUGGUAUUUGCUCCCGUUUUAUUGAAAUGCAAAAUAAUGAAGUAUGACUUAUACAUCCUUUUGAAUAUGUUAAAUCACUAUGAAAGCAUUUACUUUUCCUGCCAUUUAUUUCUUUAGCUUGAAAUAAUAAUGUAUAUUUCUUAUUUAAUAAGGUGUAAUCCUUCUGGAGCCACAAGAACUUUAAGCCAAGUCAAAAUGAAACACAAAAACAUUCUGCAAAAAGGUAAUAUUUGAUUACACAAUUACUGAACUAUUAUUAUAACAGGAUUUAGUAUAUUCAUUCUGUCAUGCAGCUAACAGAAAGAAGACUGAAGCCCGUCUAACUGGCGGGGGGCCACCACAACCUCCCCUCACCCCAUCUGAGGAGCUGGCUCUAUCCCUUAAUAAAGGGCGACCAGUGGUUGCUGGCAUUCCAGGGGGCAGUUCAUCACACAUACUAUGCACCACAAGUGAUGGUGAAAAAAGGGUGAAAUAUGAAAAGUUUACCUCUAUGAUUUUUUUUUAAUUUUUUGUCCUGAUAAAUUACUAUCUCUGUCACUUAAAGGCUUUUUGAACAAGAUUAAUUUUUUAUGUAGGCUUAUUGUAUUUAACUGCAUAUGAUGUAUUAUUUUCUUUUAUAAUAUUGAGAAUUUAACGGGUUGUGUGUUCUUAUAGAUACUGAUGGACGGAUUGUAUUAUUGGACUCUCCAGAAAGAACACAGUCUGUCACAGUUGAUGAAGAUGAUGAUGACGAUGAAGAGACCACAUCUGCUGUGACAGAAGUGGACAAUGCUGGUAGAUCCACUGAGUACAUACCUAGGGAUUUGCCCACAGAUGAGCGUCCUUCAGCCUCAGCACACAAUCUAAGCAGAGUAAGAAUUUGUGUCCAUGUGUCUAUAUUUGAAUUUUAUUGUCUGACCAAACAAUCUCAUUUAUUAAAUUUUUCCACCUUAGUUGCCAGCAAAGGAGCUGUAUAAGGUCCAUCUUCAAAAACAAAUAAGAAAAAGUGACAUGGAGAUGGACCUUAUACAGCUUCAAAUGGAAGAGAAAAGGCUCCUCAUUAAAAACGCAGCACUUGAAAUAGAAUUACUUGAGAAUCGCCUUAAGGAUCCUCGUCAAAAGGUCACGCCAUGCUCACCAACCUUCUGAAACGAAGUUACACUGAAACAUAACCUGCUCUCGAGCAGGUUGUCUUCAGAGAGUCAGUUGCUAUGGUUACAUACAUACCCAGAAAGUUACCUCUGUUUUUGGAACCGAACGUUGAGGUUAUCCACGAACUUACCCUUAAACAGACCCAGGUAUGUCACAUAACCUGCUUUUUGGAAUACCCCCCAGUGGUUGGUUGGCAGUUUAGAACAUAGACAUGUAAAUACCUCAUUGGGCGCUCUGAACAUAGACUCUGAGCCGUUGCCGCUCGUCCGCCAUGUUAGUGAGGGCAAGACUGCAUUAAAAACAAAUGAAAGUAACCGGAGGAGCUGCGUUUUUUCUGAAUAAAAGCACGAUUUAAUUAUUUAGUUAGGUUUGUAAAAUUAUUAAUUUUCGUAAGGAAUUGUGAAAGCUCACAUUUGUCUCACUUGUUGAUUUCGUUGAUUUUUUUGGUUUACAAUUCUAA